UACGUAGGUGGCAAGCGUUGUCCGGAUUUACUGGGCGUAAAGGGAGCGUAGGCGGGCUUUUAAGUGAGAUGUGAAAUACUCGGGCUCAACUUGAGUGCUGCAUUUCAAACUGGAAGUCUAGAGUGCAGGAGAGGAGAAUGGAAUUCCUAGUGUAGCGGUGAAAUGCGUAGAGAUUAGGAAGAACACCAGUGGCGAAGGCGAUUCUCUGGACUGUAACUGACGCUGAGGCUCGAAAGCGUGGGGAGCAAACAGG
RNAcentral lists this ribosomal RNA (253 nucleotides) under uncultured bacterium. Its description in RNAcentral is "partial 16S ribosomal RNA". It matches the Rfam family "Bacterial small subunit ribosomal RNA", at positions 524 to 776 of the family's 1533-position model. The record is from RNAcentral.